CUUCUAUUUCAUUGAUCUCUCCCCGUUAAUUCAAUUCCUCAGUUACUGAAAACUUGAAAAAUGCUUAUGGUAGAACCUGCCGCCGUCGCCGUUCGUUUCCCCGCCGGUAACUUCAACCGCACCUCCCGCCGGUUUUCUCACGCCGCCAGUUUCUUCAUCCCUCGGAAUAAGAUAAGGAGGUUGACAACGGAGUAUUGUGGUGGUAGAAUAAGAACGGGUAAGGGAAAAUGUGGAAUUAAAGCAAGUGCGAGAGAUCAGCCUAAUGCGAGUUCUGGACCAGUGAAACAGAAUGCGAAGCCAUCCAGGUAUCAUCCGUUUGAAGACAUUUCGGAUUCGGAAAAUGGGGAGAAUGAGGAAGCUCAACUGUCGCCAGCUGAAACUGCUAGAACAAUCAUUGAGGUAAACAGCAAAGCAACACUCAUGUUUUCAGGUGUGGUCAACAAUGAAGUGCAGGAGAACAUUUUCUGGCCAGACUUGCCUUAUAUAACUGAUGAACUUGG
Molecule: unclassified non-coding RNA, 500 nt
Filed under: Hevea brasiliensis (rubber tree)
Lineage: Eukaryota; Viridiplantae; Streptophyta; Magnoliopsida; Malpighiales; Euphorbiaceae
Source: RNAcentral